GAGUUUGAUCCUGGCUCAGAUUGAACGCUGGCGGCAUGCCUUACACAUGCAAGUCGAACGGCAGCACGGGAGCAAUCCUGGUGGCGAGUGGCGAACGGGUGAGUAAUAUAUCGGAACGUGCCCAGUCGUGGGGGAUAACGCAGCGAAAGCUGUGCUAAUACCGCAUACGAUCUAUGGAUGAAAGCGGGGGAUCGCAAGACCUCGCGCGAUUGGAGCGGCCGAUAUCAGAUUAGCUAGUUGGUGGGGUAAAAGCCCACCAAGGCGACGAUCUGUAGCUGGUCUGAGAGGACGACCAGCCACACUGGAACUGAGACACGGUCCAGACUCCUACGGGAGGCAGCAGUGGGGAAUUUUGGACAAUGGGCGCAAGCCUGAUCCAGCAAUGCCGCGUGCAGGAUGAAGGCCUUCGGGUUGUAAACUGCUUUUGUACGGAACGAAACGGCUCCUAUUAAUACUGGGGGCUAAUGACGGUACCGUAAGAAUAAGCACCGGCUAACUACGUGCCAGCAGCCGCGGUAAUACGUAGGGUGCGAGCGUUAAUCGGAAUUACUGGGGCGUAAAGCGUGCGCAGGCGGUUAUAUAAGACAGAUGUGAAAUCCCCGGGCUCAACCUGGGACCUGCAUUUGUGACUGUAUAGCUAGAGUACGGUAGAGGGGGAUGGGAAUUCCGCGUGUAGCAGUGAAAUGCGUAGAUAUGCGGAGGAACACCGAUGGCGAAGGCAAUCCCCUGGACCUGUACUGACGCUCAUGCACGAAAAGCGUGGGGAGCAAACAGGGAUUAGAUACCCUGGUAGUCCACGCCCUAAACGAUGUCAACUGGUUGUUGGGUCUUCACUGACUCAGUAACGAAGCUAACGCGUGAAGUUGACCGCCUGGGGAGUACGGCCGCAAGGUUGAAACUCAAAGGAAUUGACGGGGACCCGCACAAGCGGUGGAUGAUGUGGUUUAAUUCGAUGCAACGCGAAAAACCUUACCCACCUUUGACAUGUACGGAAUUUGCCAGAGAUGGCUUAGUGCUCGAAAGAGAGCCGUAACACAGGUGCUGCAUGGCUGUCGUCAGCUCGUGUCGUGAGAUGUUGGGUUAAGUCCCGCAACGAGCGCAACCCUUGUCAUUAGUUGCUACAUUUAGUUGGGCACUCUAAUGAGACUGCCGGUGACAAACCGGAGGAAGGUGGGGAUGACGUCAAGUCCUCAUGGCCCUUAUAGGUGGGGCUACACACGUCAUACAAUGGCUGGUACAAAGGGUUGCCAACCCGCGAGGGGGAGCUAAUCCCACAAAGCCAGUCGUAGUCCGGAUCGUAGUCUGCAACUCGACUACGUGAAGUCGGAAUCGCUAGUAAUCGUGGAUCAGAAUGUCACGGUGAAUACGUUCCCGGGUCUUGUACACACCGCCCGUCACACCAUGGGAGCGGGUUCUGCCAGAAGUAGUUAGCCUAACCGCAAGGAGGGCGAUUACCACGGCAGGGUUCGUGACUGGGGUGAAGUCGUAACAAGGUAGCCG
RNAcentral lists this ribosomal RNA (1500 nucleotides) under uncultured beta proteobacterium. RNAcentral describes it as "bacterial SSU rRNA". It matches the Rfam family "Bacterial small subunit ribosomal RNA". The record is from RNAcentral. Lineage: Bacteria; Pseudomonadati; Pseudomonadota; Betaproteobacteria.